RNAcentral lists this long non-coding RNA (349 nucleotides) under Mytilus galloprovincialis (Mediterranean mussel). The record is from RNAcentral. Lineage: Eukaryota; Metazoa; Mollusca; Bivalvia; Mytilida; Mytilidae.
UAUUUAACAAUCAUUUAACGAUAUACAUGUAUGUUUGGGUUGAAAUACAAAGACUAAUGGGCGUGAAAUGAAAAAUGUGAAUAUUGUUCCUCCAAAAGAUAUAUGUCGGUAACACUGUUUAUGUCUAACUUCAUCCAUAGUAAUAAUAUCUUCUAUAAAACAAUCCACGUCCACCCCAUCCAUUGUCCCAUCCAUUAUCCCAGCCAUUAUCUCCGUCCCAGCCAUUAUCCCAGCCGUUUUCCCGUUCAUAAUACUGUGCUAAGGUUGUCAUCAGUAUAACACAAAAUAAAAGCAGUUGUAGGGAUAACAUGUUGUCUGAAAUGAUGAAGUUUAUAAUACUGUUUAAUAU